GCACUGCUGACGAGUCCCAAACAGGACGAAACAGCUGCUGUACAGUGC
This 48-nucleotide non-coding RNA is filed under the name Echinostoma caproni. Lineage: Eukaryota; Metazoa; Platyhelminthes; Trematoda; Plagiorchiida; Echinostomatidae. The record is from RNAcentral.